GUGAAUAUAGUUUAACAAAAACAUUAGAUUGUGGAUCUAACAAUAAAAGCUCAAAUCUUUUUAUUUACC
RNAcentral lists this transfer RNA (69 nucleotides) under Nasua nasua (ring-tailed coati). RNAcentral describes it as "tRNA-His". It matches the Rfam family "tRNA". From Rfam's summary of the family: Transfer RNA (tRNA) molecules are approximately 80 nucleotides in length. Their secondary structure includes four short double-helical elements and three loops (D, anti-codon, and T loops). The record is from RNAcentral. Lineage: Eukaryota; Metazoa; Chordata; Mammalia; Carnivora; Procyonidae.